Long non-coding RNA from Cavia porcellus (domestic guinea pig), 7518 nucleotides. RefSeq lists it as uncharacterized. NCBI's taxonomy places the organism in Eukaryota, Metazoa, Chordata, Mammalia, Rodentia, Caviidae. The record is from RefSeq and is a predicted model, not a curated record. The transcript is spliced from 2 exons.
CUGGAAGGGGAGGAGACCCUGCUCCGCCACCAGCUCCUUCCCGACAGGGGGUGCCCCGCGCUGUCACCUUGCUGUCCCUCCCGCCCAGCUCCCCUCUCCCAAGCUCACUGGCAGCCUGGACUCAGCCAAAGUGUUAGGCUUAACUUGGUUUACUUUGAAAAAUCUCAAUAUAAGUGAUGUGGGACCAGGGAAGGGCGCUGGGAAUCGCCUCCACCACACCCGGGGACCUGACGUCGCUCACUCGUGCAAGAAAGCAGUGACACACGACAGACAGCCAGACUAGCACCAGCAAGGUGGAAAGUUCCCGGAGAGGAGAGCCGGAGGACUUGGCCUCACAGCUGCUUGCACCAAUGUUGGAGAAAGAAUACACUGAGCUUAAAACUUAAAAGGAAAUUAGUCUUGUAGGGAAGGCCAGCAUCGCUUUAUAUGCGUUUCUCCGUCUGGAAGUGCACAGGAUGCCAGUUUUGGUAUUAGGUAUUUGGUAUUAGACUAGGAUUAAUACAAGCAUGAUUUAGUUCUGGGCAGAUACAUCUCGAGAUUGGGAGCAAUCUGCGGCAGAAACAUUCUCAAAGAAUGGCCUUGUUUGAAACUCCCCAGUCUCACUUUUAUUUAUGACUACCAUGUUAACCAUACCAAUAAUGAUUCACUAUGUUUAGUCAACAUUUUCAUUCAUAAGAAAAAUUGAAAGUUAUCUAUGUCUUACUAUAAAACUCUGCUUCUUAAAUUAUCACCUAUAUUACAUUUUUAAAAGUUAUGGUCUUACCUGUGUUUAUUUCUGUGUGGAGAGCCCUAUUGAAUAUUAUCAGCCACAGAAUUUUGAAUCUUCCAAUUACGAGGUCACAUAAUGUACACAUUAUGUGCGGAAAGAGCCAUCUGAUCCAAUCAAGAAUUGAACCAAUGAGUGCUUAUAUCAAUCACUGUAAUCACUGCAGUUGUCCUAAUCAUUUUGUCAAUUGGUAGAUAAAUGGUCAAGCAUUAUGAUUAUAUAUAAGAUAAAAGGAACUGUAUUGCCAAACCAUCAAAAUGAUCCCAAUCAAAUCUCUUUAUGAAUGGCUUUAGUCUGCUCCCCGGAGAAAAUUCAACUGAAGUUGUUUGAAAUGUUCUUUUUUACACCUGCAAUAUUCUUCUCUACAUCGUGCCAAAAUUCACGUUUUUCCAAAUUCUCGCUUAAGGUUGACUAUGACAGCUACUUUGAUAUUUACCUCCUCCCAGUGAUUGUUCCUUUUCUUGGCAUCAGGUAUGAAACUCCUGAGUUUCAAAACUGGUGAUUAAAGCCCUUAAAUAGGGGGCUAAUAUACCAAGUAUAUGGAAGACUUGAUUUUUAUUGUGCAAAUAAUAAGCAAAGGGAACAGUCAUGUUUAAAAAUUAGGUGACUAAAAUGAUGAUACUUGGCAUUAAUUGCUUUAAUUAUCUGGCUUGCUUUUGCAGACUUCUUGAUCCAUAUUGACAUUAACUUUUUCUAACACAUUAAACUUUGCAUGUCCACACCGGAUCCCUGUCCAUCCUCAAGGUCAUUUCAUGUGUCACUUGUUGUGAACCAAAAUUUGUUUUGGAAGUUGAAAAGAAUCAGUGGGACUGCUCUUGAGCCAUUUCAAAUUCUCAUAGCUCUCAUUAAAGAGAAAGAUCACAUUAUAGAUUUGUGUAUGUAUAGCUUUUCUUUCAUAUUAAUAAAGAGCAUCUUCUAAGACUUAAUACCUAACAAAGUAUUAAUCACAUACUAUUUACUGAAAAUAUGUUGAAAAAUUGCAAACUAAUAAAUAACUUGAUUCUUCUUUUAAAUUAUUAGACUAUUACAUUGCACAGUAGCCCCCAGUUAAUCACAACUCCUUGUAUUUAUAUACUUUUGCAGGCCCUCCCACAUGGCUCAUGGGUCUGGCCAUAUGAAUUGCAUAAACCCUAGGAUGUGUGAUACAACCAGAAGUUGGAUACGCACAUGUACAUGGGAACUUGUUCUUUUGGCACACCUCCUUUAGAGAUACAAGUACCUUGCUUUAUGAAAAUCUAGAUUAUUCCCCUGGGGCCACAUGGAAGAGAACAGAGGUAUUCUGCCCAGUCACCAGUUGAAUGCAAAGGUACAAGCAAUCCAGUCAAACUAUAUGGAGGAGAGUAAUUGCAUAGUGAACUUCAGCAUCAUGGCAAUGGAUCAUUAAAUUUUGGGUAGUGUCAUGGUUUGGGUAGUGCCAGGCCUCAUGUGCAUUGUGCAUUUGUGAUUGGUUCAUUGUCUAGAGCUUGGAUUGAUGGUGUCAGUGCCACACAGGCCUAAGGGUGAAGCCAGGAUGUAAUGUAAUGGCAGGAAGAAGGCGUGUCUCUCUCUCUUGCAGGUUUCUGCCUUGCUGUUUGCAACCUCCAUGAACUGCUGCCCGCCAUGCCACCCUGCCUUGGAGCCAACUGAGUAUGGACUGAAACCUCCAAGAACUGUAAGAAAUAAACAUUUCCUUCCCCAACUUUGGGCAUCAGGUAUUUUGUCUCGGUGAUGAGUAAAAAGUAACUAAAACAGGUAGCCUGUUAGGUAAUGACUACUGAUGCAGCUUCCUCCAGUUUCAGUGAUUUGAGAUACAACUAGGGUGUGAGGGUGAAGGAAGGAGCCUGGAAAACUGCCUUGUAGAGCUUCACAGCAAGUACCUCAUUUAUGCCUUUUUAGAACUCAGUGGCACAGUUACUUCAGUGAUGCGACAGUCUUCUAGAGGCUGGCUUUCGAACUAAGAAUCUUUCAAGUCUGUGAAACAGAGUCCACAGACAGGCUCUGGAGUGUAUCCCAUGGUCCAAUCCUACUUCUGCCUGAAGUGACAAAACACAGUAAAUCAAUAUAAUUUCUUUCUAGUCUUUGGAACUUUUAGAAAUUAGGCAUCUAUGAAAUUGUUCAGGUUACUCAGAAACGAAUAAUUUAUGGAAACAUUGGGUUCUGACGCAAACCCAAUAUGUGAAAGUACCUGAUUACUUACAAGUUUUCACUCUAAGGAUAGUAGUCCUUGGCUGCUAAUUAAGUUCCUAUAUAUUUGAUUAGGUUCUCUGUAUUUGGAGCUGUUACAAAUGCGUGUGUGUGCGCGCGCACACACACACACACACACACACACACACACACACACCAGCAGCAGCAGUUAUUCUGAUUGCAAAUGGGAGUGGGGUUGAUAGUAGCUGUCUCAGCGUGGUAAAGAACAGAGUUUGUUAAACUUGAGAGUUUAAGUAAUGCUUUAUCUUUAAAAGUUGAAUUUUUGAAGAUCUUAGAUAUGCAAAAAAGGUUUAAUAUUGCCAUGAAACAACAUAUGCAAAUUAACAAACAAAGCCAGUAAGACCAACACUAACCACACUAAUCUAUAUAACAUUAUUUUGCCAACAUUUAUUGUGUCUAAAUUCAAGGGCAUGGUUUUGGUGAUUUGCGGUAUUCCUACACUACUGCAUGCUAGGUAAUUGCGCAAUGUGCUCACCAUUUUUGCUGUGCAAAGUUCUAUGGAAAGUCCCUUACACCACACUUCCUGACCUCCCAUGGACAAAUGCAUGACAUUCAGAUCUAUUUUCCUCCAAGAUAAAGUUAAGCUAGCUGGCCUCAACUGUAGACAGAAAUAAGGGAAUUAAAAUGAUUGAUGACCUAUUUAUUUUUAAGGUUAGUAUUGAAUUAAAAAUCCUAUUUGAGAAAGAUUAUUUAUCAGGUAAAUAGCACUUGACUGGCAGGCAAGAGUCCUGGAUUCCAAUCAUGUAUUUAACACAAAUCGUAAGGUAAUCUUAAAAGCACUCAGAUAUUUUAACCAUGGGAAAAGAACGAUAGGAGAAUUACAAAUAGAUUUUUGGUAGAAAUCAAUAAAGUAAGAGCUCUGUGUCAUGGAAUCACAGCAGUGUGGCAAAGAUGAGGAGGCGUUUUAUGACCGGAAGCUUCCCAGUACCUUUCCUAAGCGUGUAACUCCUAACUCUGCCUAUAAUUAAAGCCUCGCUUCAUGUCUCUUUAAUUUUCAUUGCCCUCAAAUUUUAUUUGAUUAACCUGUUUCUCCUAAGAAAUUAGGCAUGUAGGUUUUAUUUUUAUGUUUUCCUGAAAUCAUUACUAUUUAUGUCCAAAAUAUGUCCAUUGAUGAUGAAUUAAACAACUUUCCUAUUAUGGUUGUCACUUGUUUAUUAAGUUUCCAGGAAAUAAAAAUUCCUUCCAUCUCAGAAAUACAGCCUUGGCUAGAAAGGGUUAUGUUUCAAGUCCUAGGAAAAUAAAAAUUGGAAGCCCCAUGCAUUGUGUAGUUUCUGGAACGACUGUAAGGUUCUAAAGGCAGCAGAGUUAGAAAAUGAUUAUUAUAUUCUAGCAUCUCAGUUUCAUUACCCUUUGUUUAUUGGAAAGCUUUACCCACAGCAUCCGUGGCAAACUCAAAGAGAAGCAUCGCAGGGUCUUGACAAUGCUUUCCCUGCAUUUGGCGCAGGUAGUCAGGAAACACGAAUUUCCCUCUUCCAGCCAGGCGCUUCUUGGAACAGGCCCUGGAUCAUCUACAGGCGCAGCUGCUGCUGUACUUGAGGGGUCCCGGCACCCAGACACAUCUCUCCGAACAGCCAAAUGAGUAUCUUCCCAAUCACCACCACCUCAUUUUUUUUUCAGUCUGAAAUAUUAAAAUAAGCCUAAAGUGUCUUUAAAUUUUAAAAUUUUAAUUAUACCCUUUGGAAUCUGUGCUUUAGAAAAGUUAUUUUUCCUCUAAGUCAAUAUCUUGAACACAUCUACACAUACACAUACAUGUUUAUUAAAAUAUGCUUAGAAAAUACGCUUUACCCUAGCAUGAAGAUUAGUAGGAAAAAAAUGGGAAAAUCCAUAGUUCACUCUUUCAGUGUGUUUUGAAAAGAAAAAUAUUUUUUCAAAAUACAGCUAAUAAGUAACUGUCUGUGGAGGGACGCAUACACUUGUUUAUGACGCAAAUCUUAUCUCUCAGUGGUAAUCUAUGUGGCUGGGGAAAGCUGAAAAUGAUUUCCACCCUUAUGGCCUUAUAUUAUACUUUCUAAAGAUGGGUCUCAUAAUACUAUUCUAUACAAAAGUAAUAAAUACUAUCUUUAGGAGGUGGUGAUUAUAAUGAUGAUGUUCCCUUGCCAAAAAGUAACAAAGGUAUUUUAAAUUGCAUUUUUAUCAUGAUAAGGAGAUUUCAAAUAAUUUAGCUAAUUUUACCUAAUAGCUACUGAGAAUUAACAUUGUUAUUUAAUGCAAUCAGUAGUUGAAUAGACCAUAAAUCCAAGAACUAAACACUAGGGGAGAUGUAUAACAGAUAAUGCUCAGAGAUUUUUAAUUCUCCUGUAUGGAAAAGGGAGAACCCAAAGGAAAUUAAGUGCUCGUUUUCUCAAAUAAGUAGAUUAGAUUUUCUUAUUUCUUAAAAUUACCCUGUGAAGCAUGUAUUUUAUGACUCAUGGAUUUUUAUAAUUUUCCAGAUUUCAUAACUUCAAUUAUAAAUGCUUUCUACUUUGAGAAUUUUUCUAUUUAUAUUUUAGCUACUGUUUCUUUUCCCAAACACCAAAGUAAACUUAUUUAUCUUGUGCUCAGAUUAUUUGAAAAUAUAAAAGAUAUUUUAAAUGUUUGUAUAUUGUAAAAUCUGUAUUAAUUUGUUUACUCUAAUAAAGGCAUUGCAGCUGCAUUUGAAAAGUAUAUAAGCACAAUAAAAUGUCACUUAAUGUGCUCUAGCAUUUCUUCAAUAAACAGUGUGAAGGCAAAUUCCUAUGUAAUUUAACAGUUGCAAGUAGCAGCUCUCUGUGAUACCAGUUGAAAAUAGCUACUCUGAACCAUGAAGCACAACACAGAGGAAUUAUUCUGUAGGUUUGCUCAUUUCCCAGGGUUCUGUCCAGAUUGAACCAACUGGCACAGAAGCAUGAACCUGAGAAAGAGCUGUAUGAACAAGCUCAGGUGUUUAGCUAUUUUAGCUGCUUUCUGUUCUUCCCCUCGGGUCGCUUGAAAACGCAAAUAAAGGUGGCUAGCAUUUCAAAAUGCCAAAUAAGUGGAAAAUUACAUAAAGGUGUAUUCUCCAAAGUAGAGUGCAAGAAAAAACUAUUAAAAUUUCUUCUUAUAGAUAAUUGUAUUAUUUUCAUCUAAACAUUAAAAUAAAUCACGCUGGACCUACACAUGAGUAGAUAUCUGUGUUCUCAAUGGUGUGUGCCAUGAACAGGUGCUAAUCAUGUAGGGGACCCACGAGUCCUGCUAGAAGAUGACACUGUUUCAAACCCCACUGCAGUGAUGGAAUCUGAUACCCGGGUUUCAGCCCUGUCCUUCUCUUGGUGUCCAGAGUAGAAAGAGGGUCCCCGAGACUGAGCCACAUCCAGAAGGAGCCACAUACCCUCUUUACGCAAAAACGAAGAUUUCUGAACCUUUAAAAUCCGUCGCUCUGGGCUCAAGGUUGACAGGAUGAGAAGUGGGACCUACGAGGUUAGAAUACUUCAUUUAGUUAAACUAUGUCUGGAGUAAAAUGAAACCAACUGUGGAAGUCUCAGAAGUCAUUCAGCCCACAUAAGUCAAAUCGUUUUCUGAAGCCGUCGUAACAUGCUUCUAUUAUGAGCUCCUACCCCCCAAGGCCUAUUGCUAAGGGACGAUGCUGCAAGAAUAUGCUUUGUUUGUAUUAUAUCAAUAUUAACUAAAUGCAUGUUUAUUUUAGAUACUUUAAAGUUUUCACAUGAAUACCCUAUCAGUAGAAACAGUGUUUUGGAAAUGAAUAUCUCAAAAUAUAUAUUAUAUAUAUUUAAGUAUAUUAAUAUAAUACAUAAUUUAUGGCAUAUUUAUGACAUGCAUAAAUAUGUAUUUGUGUGUAGUAUAUAGAUAUGUAAGUUAUAAAUAUUAUAUAACUAUAAGUAUGUUGAUUUAAUUUUUUUACAUUUAAUACACAAUAUAUCAUUUAUGUAUAUGCCACUCUACCAAUAAAUUAUGCAAAGCAUAAAGAGAAUUUUUAAAGGUUGAGUAAAUAUUAUUCAAAUUUUACCUGUAUUCUGUUCAUCAAUGAUAAAUUCAUACCUUUUUCCCUUAUAUAUUUUUUUUGAGUAAUAUGCUGGGUUGCUAAUAUUCUGACUAUAUCAGUCAAGACCUAAGAAUUAAAAUAGAAAGCUAUUUAAGAUUUUUUAUAAGGGGAGUUCUGGUAUCAGGGCUGUUUAUGCGAGAAAUAGCAUAGCUAAGACACUGAUCAGUGGUCGAUAAAGCCGCAGUGACUAGCCUCUGCUACCUACUAGCUGCCUAAGAAUGCCUGUUAAUCAUCUAUUUAUGGGGGAUGAUAAUAUGUACCUUAUAGAAUUGUUACAUAAAUAAGUUAAUGUUUACAUAGCACUUAGAACACUCCCUGGCAAGAGUCAUUUAUUUAUAUGUGUCUAUUAAACUAAAAUAUGAAUACCAAUCACUCCCUUUUCUUGUUUUGCUAGUCUGUAUUUCUACUGUAGAAUUCAUGACAUUAAGGUGUAAGAUACACAUCUGUCAUUGUGAUAAAAUAGUUCUUGCUAGGUAAAGUCUGUGAUUAACCAUCUUUGUGUUCCCAAUGCAAAAAAAAAUAGAUGUCAAUAAAUGUUUAUUUAAUAAAUUUAUCAUUUUUGUCUAACACA